UGGAAACUGGGAAACUUGAGUGCAGAAGAGGAGAGUGGAAUUCCACGUGUAGCGGUGAAAUGCGUAGAGAUGUGGAGGAACACCAGUGGCGAAGGCGACUCUCUGGUCUGUAACUGACGCUGAGGAGCGAAAGCGUGGGGAGCGAACAGGAUUAGAUACCCUGGUAGUCCACGCCGUAAACGAUGAGUGCUAAGUGUUAGGGGGUUUCCGCCCCUUAGUGCUGCAGCUAACGCAUUAAGCACUCCGCCUGGGGAGUACGGUCGCAAGACUGAAACUCAAAGGAAUUGACGGGGGCCCGCACAAGCGGUGGAGCAUGUGGUUUAAUUUGAAGCAACGCGAAGAACCUUACCAGGUCUUGACAUCCUCUGACAACCCUAGAGAUAGGGCUUUCCCUUCGGGGACAGAGUGACAGGUGGUGCAUGGUUGUCGUCAGCUCGUGUCGUGAGAUGUUGGGUUAAGUCCCGCAACGAGCGCAACCCUUGAUCUUAGUUGCCAGCAUUCAGUUGGGCACUCUAAGGUGACUGCCGGUGACAAACCGGAGGAAGGUGGGGAUGACGUCAAAUCAUCAUGCCCCUUAUGACCUGGGCUACACACGUGCUACAAUGGACAGAACAAAGGGCUGCAAGACCGCAAGGUUUAGCCAAUCCCAUAAAUCUGUUCUCAGUUCGGAUCGCAGUCUGCAACUCGACUGCGUGAAGCUGGAAUCGCUAGUAAUCGCGGAUCAGCAUGCCGCGGUGAAUACGUUCCCGGGCCUUGUACACACCGCCC
This 768-nucleotide ribosomal RNA is filed under the name Bacillus safensis. RNAcentral describes it as "bacterial SSU rRNA". It matches the Rfam family "Bacterial small subunit ribosomal RNA", at positions 627 to 1395 of the family's 1533-position model. Lineage: Bacteria; Bacillati; Bacillota; Bacilli; Caryophanales; Bacillaceae. The record is from RNAcentral.